This 2826-nucleotide ribosomal RNA is filed under the name Spongilla lacustris. RNAcentral's name for it is "16S ribosomal RNA". It matches the Rfam family "Bacterial large subunit ribosomal RNA". Lineage: Eukaryota; Metazoa; Porifera; Demospongiae; Spongillida; Spongillidae. The record is from RNAcentral.
GAUUAGUAUAAACGAGUGGCAAACGGAUGACUAGGAUGUUAUAAUUUGAGGACGUUAUAAAUACGAAAGAUGGGCAGAGAAGGUAUGAAAGCCCAUUUUCCAUAAGUAAACCUAAAUUCUAAACCCUAGGAAUUGAAACAUCUUAGUACUAGGAGGAAAAGAAAUCAAGCGAGAUUCCGUGAGUAGUGGCGAGCGAAAGCGGAUAUAGACUAUGGAAUCCCGCCUUUAGGGGCGGGGUUGAAAUUGAAAACCAAAGAGGGUAACAGGCCCCGUAGAUAAAAUCGAUGAUUCCGUAAGUUCUUGGAGUAGAACUAUUUGAAGAAAGGUGCUCCAUAUAUCUAAAACUAAAUAUUAUAACAUACCGAUAGUGAAUUAGUACUGUGAAGGAAAGUUGAAAGAGAUAAUAGUGAAAUAGAGCCUGAAAUUUGCCAUCUCACAAGCAGACGAAAUUCGUUGUACCUUUUGUAUAAUGGGUUCGCAAGAUAAAUAUUUGGCAAACUUAAGUUAAUAGACGUAGGUGUAGUGAAAACGAGUUUUAAUAGAGCGUUAGUCAAAUAGAGCCCGAAACCAAGUGAUCUAGCCAUGGGCAGUUUGAAACCCGUUUAAUAGCGGGCGGAGGAACGAACCGGUGAUUGUGGCAAAAAUCUCGGAUGACCUGUGGUUAGGGGUGAAAAGCCAAUCGAACUUGAAAUAGCUGGUUUUCUGCGAAACUAUUUGAAGUAGUGCGUCAUAUGGCGGGAAUAUCCUGGAGCGCACCUACAGCUUACUGUAGGUGCGCCGUCCUCGGAUAUCAGUAUAUUCUUACACAGUAAAGCACUGAAUGGGUUUAGGGGUUAGGCCUACUAAAUUCAACCAAACUAUGAAGGUGUAAGGAGAAAAUAUGAUAGACAGACAGUGGGCGAGAAGGUCCAUUGUCAAGAAGGAAACAACCUAGAUCAGAAGUUAAGGUCAUAAAUAUAAUCUAAGUGUAAAAGGGAAUUUUUAAAUUAAGACAAUGAGAAAGUAGGCUUGGAACCAGCCAUCUUUGAAAGAUUACGUAACAGUUCACUCAAUAAAUUUAUAGAUCCCAAAAAUUAUGGUGGCUUAAGCUUGGCAGCAAGUUAAACCGAAACUCUGAAUAAAUACCAUAAGGGGCUAGUGAGGCUAUAGCCUCACUAGCCCCGGUGGCUUAUAGUGGUAGCAGAACGUACUGUAAAUAAUAACCAUAGGCUAGGCGGUGACGCCUGCCGAUGGUUGGUUAUUGCGAAAGCGUUUAUCAGGAGUGAUAAUGCGAACAUGAGUAAAAAACAGUGUGAGGAUCACUGCUCACGGCCCAAGGUUUCCAAUCAUAGGAUUAUCCGGAUUGGGUUAUACAGUCCCUAAGAGGGCUUCAUAGUAUUCGGCACCGACGGUAUCAGGCUCCAUAGGAGCCUGUGCCUCGGUGCUAUUUCGAUGGGAGUAUUUAAUAACAAGUGUCUAAGAUAUUAUAAGAAAUUAUUCAGGGUCUAUUAAGACCCUAGGCUGUACUAAAACUAACACAAGUGGGCAUAAAAGUGAUGGUAUAAUUUAUCUUAAGGAACUCGGCAAAAUGUCCCUGUAAGUUCGCAAGAAGGGGAGCCAGCUAUAGACAGAGGUAACCUGUGCCGGAUAUCCGGGACUAGGUUAUCUAAUUUGACUGGCCUCAGAAAAGAGGGGGUGUCGACUGUUUACCAAAACAUAGCUUCCAGCAAAGGGCCAAGGGCCUGAAGUAUUGGAGGUGAGGCCUGCCCAAUGGUUGUAUCUAAAACCAAGUAAUAAAAAAAGUUAGCUUGGGUAAGGACAAUUGAAUGGCCGCGGUAAAUCUGACCGUGAUAAUGUAGCGCAAUCAAUAGCCAAUUAAUUGUUGGCAAGUAUGAAUGGCUUAACGAAUGCCCCGCUGUCUCAAGAUAAAAACCAAUGAAAUUGAAUUCGUAGUGAAGAUGCUACGUAUAAAUUGUUAGACGAGAAGACCCCAUUGAGCUUUACUGGAGACUUAUAUGGUUCUUUACCAAUUAAUUGUGUAGACUAUGUGGGUAAACCCUCGCGUAUGCCGGGCUGCAGCACCUACGGUGCCGUGCCGCAUGGGGUUAUAAUGAAAAACCACUCUUUAAUUAUAAAAAGAACUAAAAUAAUGGAAAGGUAUAUGUCAGACAGUUUGGUUGGGGCGACCGCCUUCUAAAGAGUAACGAAGGCGUACAUAAGGUUAAUAAUAUAAUAGUAUAAAGUUUAAAGCCUGACAGUAAGGAGGACGUCCGAGCUGACACGCCGUAGGCAGCUGCCUAUUCCGUGGGUUAUAAUGACCCGUUAGCUUAGAAUGGGAUAGCUAACGAGCAACGAAUAAAAGUUACCAUGGGGAUAACAGCGUAAUAUCGUUUGAGAGUUCAUAUCGACGACGAUGUUUGCGACCUCGAUGUUGAAUUGCGGGAUCCUGGAGGUGCAGCCGCUUCCAAGGGUUGGACUGUUCGUCCAUUAAAGCCGUACAUGAUUUGAGUUCAGACCGGCGUGAGCCAGGUCGGUUUCUAUCUACAAUUUAUGUAGGAAACAUUAGAUAUAACUAUAUUCUAGUACGAAAGGACCGAAUGAUUAGUUAUCCGCUGGUGAACCAAUUGUAGUUAAUCAAGGUCGAUGGCGGCCGACUCUGUCGGCGGCCGCCUGAAGUAUUACUGUUGGGUGGCUACGAUAAUUAAAAUAAUCACUGAAUGCAUCUCAAGUGAGAAGUUAAAUAUCAUUCUAUGUUUCCAAUAUAUAGACUGUUUGAGAAUAAAACGUGGAUAGGAUCUGUGUUUACCUGCAAGCUAAAGAUUACUAAUGGUCUAAUUUACUAAUCAU